AUGCAACCUACUAGAAGUAAGCUAGCUAGAGCAAGGAGGAUUGCACUAAAGAUAAUUCAUGGAGAUGAACUUGAGCAGUAUAAUUUACUGUGGGACUUUGCAGCUGAAAUCAGAAGAUCAAAUCCUGGCAGUACCAUGCUUGUGCAUGCAAACAAUGGAAAGUUUGAUAACUGCUACAUGUCCUUAGAUGCAUGCAAAAGGGGUUUUCUGCUAGCUUGUAGGCCCAUUAUAUGCAUUGAUGGGUGUCACAUUAAGAACAAGUAUGGUGGAGUGAUGCUGACAGCUGUUGGAGUUGAUCCUAACGAUUGUAUCUUUCCCAUUGCAAUUGCCAUAGUAGAAGUGGAAGAUACUGUCACAUGGAAGUGGUUUUUGAACACAUUGAAGGAGGAUCUGAACAUACAAAACACAGCACCAUGGACAUUGAUGAGUGAUAGGCAGAAGGGCUUGAUCAAUGCUGUCAAUGCAAUGUUUCCUGAUGCACAACAUAGAUUUUGUGUGAGGCAUCUGCAUCAAAACUUUGCAAAAAACUGGAAAGGUGAUGUAUUCAAGAAUAAAUUGUGGCAAAUUGCAAGAGCUACACAUGAGGCAGACUGGAAGAAGUAUAUGCAAGAGAUGAAAGAGUUGGACCAGGGGGCCUAUGAGUACUUGGAUGCAAUUGACCCAAGGCAGUGGUGCAAGGCCUAUUUCCAUGAACUCCCAAAGUGUGAUUUGCUUCUUAACAACAGCUGUGAAGUGUUCAACAAGUAA
Molecule: ribosomal RNA, 747 nt
Filed under: Triticum aestivum (bread wheat)
Lineage: Eukaryota; Viridiplantae; Streptophyta; Magnoliopsida; Poales; Poaceae
Description: partial small subunit ribosomal RNA
Source: RNAcentral